Non-coding RNA from Acanthosepion pharaonis, 102 nucleotides. NCBI's taxonomy places the organism in Eukaryota, Metazoa, Mollusca, Cephalopoda, Sepiida, Sepiidae. The record is from the annotation of a GenBank genome assembly.
CAAGUUGAAACACCGGUUCCCGUACUACCACUGAAGUUAAGCAACGUCGGACCAAGUCACUAGCUAGAUGGGUGGUCGCUAGGGAAUACCAUGUGUUGUAAU